RNAcentral lists this ribosomal RNA (492 nucleotides) under uncultured bacterium. Its description in RNAcentral is "partial 16S ribosomal RNA". It matches the Rfam family "Bacterial small subunit ribosomal RNA", at positions 29 to 507 of the family's 1533-position model. The record is from RNAcentral.
AGUGAACGCUGGCGGUAGGCCUAACACAUGCAAGUCGAACGGCAGCACAGUAAGAGCUUGCUCUUACGGGUGGCGAGUGGCGGACGGGUGAGGAAUACAUCGGAAUCUACUUUUUCGUGGGGGAUAACGUAGGGAAACUUACGCUAAUAUCGCAUACGACCUACGGGUGAAAGCAGGGGAUCUUCGGACCUUGCGCGAUUGAAUGAGCCGAUGUCGGAUUAGCUAGUUGGCGGGGUAAAGGCCCACCAAGGCGACGAUCCGUAGCUGGUCUGAGAGGAUGAUCAGCCACACUGGAACUGAGACACGGUCAAGACUCCUACGGGAGGCAGCAGUGGGGAAUAUUGGACAAUGGGCGCAAGCCUGAUCCAGCCAUACCGCGUGGGUGAAGAAGGCCUUCGGGUUGUAAAGCCCUUUUGUUGGGAAAGAAAAGCAGCAGGUUAAUACCCCGCUGUUCUGACGGUACCCAAAGAAUAAGCACCGGCUAACUUCGUG